AUGACCUCCAAUCAUCAUCUUAAUUCGUUCGUCUUCUUUCGAUGCUCAUCUCCGAUUCGAUCAAUUCAAUUGAUGCUCACUAAAUACUCUUCGACUUCACCUUCACUCAGCAUCGCUGUCUCAACAGUCACCAUUGCCUCACCGUCCACUUGCGAUUUUGCGCUUCAGUCGCGUAUCAACUUAUUCCUCCUUCAACUUGUUGUCUACUCAAUCUUCUACUCAAUGUCAUGGAGUUCAAGGGUGACGGAGAAAUUAAAACGCAACACGGAUUUAGGGGAUUAA
This is a non-coding RNA of Vicia faba (fava bean), 282 nucleotides long. The record is from the annotation of a GenBank genome assembly. NCBI's taxonomy places the organism in Eukaryota, Viridiplantae, Streptophyta, Magnoliopsida, Fabales, Fabaceae.